CUGCCGAAAGGGCAAAGCCACUGAAAGGUGGCGGCGCAAAGCUAAGGGUCUAAAGCCGGGUCCCCGGCCACGACUGCCAGCUGCCGAA
This 88-nucleotide non-coding RNA is filed under the name Chloroflexota bacterium. RNAcentral describes it as "Chloroflexi bacterium c-di-GMP sequence". It matches the Rfam family "c-di-GMP-I riboswitch aptamer". From Rfam's summary of the family: GEMM was predicted in a large-scale screen for bacterial structured RNA regulatory elements. Genes associated with GEMM are involved in a diverse array of functions, including chemotaxis regulation, signal transduction, secretion and chitin. Lineage: Bacteria; Bacillati; Chloroflexota. The record is from RNAcentral.